UGCAAUCACUACUGUAAGUCGCUCUGGAUAAGAGCAUCUGCUAAAUGACUAAAA
Non-coding RNA from Salmo salar (Atlantic salmon), 54 nucleotides. The record is from Rfam. Lineage: Eukaryota; Metazoa; Chordata; Actinopteri; Salmoniformes; Salmonidae.